CUUUCGUCUUGUAAUUGGAAUGAUGGCGACUUAAACCCUCGCCAGAGUAACAAUUGGAGGGCAAGUCUGGUGCCAGCAGCCGCGGUAAUUCCAGCUCCAAUAGCGUAUAUUAAACUUGUUGCAGUUAAAAAGCUCGUAGUUGAAUUUCUGCGUUGCGUUUUUCUUGCUUUUUGCUUGACUUUCGCUUCGCUUUUUGGUUUUACUUUGAGAAAAUUAGAGUGUUUAUCGCAGACUUUUGUCUUGAAUACUUCAGCAUGGAAUAAUAGAGUAGGACCUUGGUUCUAUUUUGUUGGUUUUUGAGCCUUGGUAAUGGUUAAUAGGAACG
This 325-nucleotide ribosomal RNA is filed under the name Babesia caballi. RNAcentral's name for it is "SSU rRNA". It matches the Rfam family "Eukaryotic small subunit ribosomal RNA", at positions 495 to 880 of the family's 1831-position model. Lineage: Eukaryota; Apicomplexa; Aconoidasida; Piroplasmida; Babesiidae. The record is from RNAcentral.